Molecule: ribosomal RNA, 400 nt
Filed under: uncultured prokaryote
Description: partial 16S ribosomal RNA
Source: RNAcentral
CCCUAUGGGGUGCAGCAGGCGAUUGAAGCGGCCGGCCUGUCCGGCAUCGACAUCGUUGCCAUCGCCGGCACGCCCGACGCCAUCGCUUCCAUCAUCCAUGGCCGCGGCCUGAAGUACACGAUGGACCAGGCACCGUUUGACAUGGGCGCCUUUACAGUCCAGGCGGCCUAUGAUAUACUGACGGGUAAAGCGGUUGAGCCCAUCAUCCGCUGCGGCGGCACUUGCAUCGGCCCCGACAAUGCCGUCGAGCACAUGAAGACCUACUAUCCCAAUUACGAAUAUUAAUUCGCAAGGGGAAUAGAAGCGGAGAACCGGUGCCGCGUGGGUGCCACCGGGUCUCCGCAGCCUUCGUCCAUGGUGCUUCCGGGUGCGGGGAUCUUCGUGGAAUUGGCGGGAGGGC